CCUACGGGGGGCAGCAGUGGGGAAUAUUGCACAAUGGGGGAAACCCUGAUGCAGCGACGCCGCGUGAGUGAAGAAGUAAUUCGUUACGUAAAGCUCUAUCAGCAGGGAAGAAACACUGACCUUACGGUCAGCAGACGGUACCUGAGUAAGAAGCCCCGGCUAACUACGUGCCAGCAGCCGCGGUAAUACGUAGGGGGCAAGCGUUAUCCGGAUUUACUGGGUGUAAAGGGAGCGUAGACGGUGCGCCAAGUCUGGAGUGAAAUGCCGCAGCUUAACUGCGGAACUGCUUUGGAAACUGGCGAACUAGAGUGCGGGAGGGGUAAGCGGAAUUCCUAGGGUAGCGGUGAAAUGCGUAGAUAUUAGGAGGAACACCAGUGGCGAAGGCGGCUUACUGGACAGUAACUGACGUUGAGGCUCGAAAGCGUGGGGAGCAAACAGGAUUAGAUACCCUAGUAGUC
Molecule: ribosomal RNA, 458 nt
Filed under: uncultured bacterium
Lineage: Bacteria
Description: partial 16S ribosomal RNA
Rfam family: Bacterial small subunit ribosomal RNA
Source: RNAcentral